Molecule: RNA transcript, 2776 nt
Organism: Chroicocephalus ridibundus (black-headed gull)
Lineage: Eukaryota; Metazoa; Chordata; Aves; Charadriiformes; Laridae
Gene: MKRN2
Gene name: makorin ring finger protein 2
Exons: 9
Source: RefSeq, a predicted model, not a curated record
CGGAGCGGGGCCACGAUGAGCACCAAGCAGGUGACCUGCAGGUACUACAUGCAAGGAGUGUGUCGGGAGGGAAGCAAGUGUCUGUUCUCGCAUGACUUAUCUACAAGCAAAUCCUCUACCAUCUGCAAGUACUACCAGAAGGGACAGUGUGCCUAUGGGGCUCGGUGCAGGUACGAUCACACCAGACUUCCUGCGCCAGGGGCUUCAGCGGCCCCUGCGCCCCCUCCCCGCUCCUCGGCCGUGCUGCACAGCCCUCGUCAGCCUCCUGAGCAGAGCGCACCCAUCAUCAGGAGCAAACUGCACGAGACUGGCAAGCGGGAGAAGAAAACACUCGUGCUCAGGGACAGAAAUCUGUGUGGCUUGAAUGAAGAAAAGCAGAAACCCAGUGCCACAAGCGAUGGGGUGUGUUGCAGUGACCAAAACGAUAAUCUGGAAAUGAAGCCCCAUUCGUAUUUGGAAGCUAUUUGCAGCGGACUGGAAGAUCCGGUAGCUGGAAGCUCCUGUGCGGAUGGAGAGCAGCUGUGCCCUUACGCUGCGGCAGGAGCGUGCCACUUCGGAGAACGCUGCCUGUACCUCCACGGGGACGUCUGUGAGAUAUGCGGGUUGCAAGUACUUCACCCUUUCGACCAAGAACAGAGGAAGGCUCACGAGAUGAUGUGCAUGGCGACAUUUGAGCAUGACAUGGAGAAGGCCUUUGCCUUUCAGGCAAGUCAGGACAAAGUGUGCAGUAUCUGCAUGGAAGUGGUGUACGAGAAACCAUCGGCCUCCGAGAGGAGGUUUGGGAUCCUUUCCAACUGCAAUCACACGUACUGCUUGUCUUGCAUCCGGCAGUGGAGAUGUGCCAAGCAGUUCGAGAAUCCCAUCAUAAAGUCCUGCCCCGAGUGCCGUGUGAUAUCCGAGUUUGUCAUUCCCAGCGCCUACUGGGUAGAAGACCAGGAGAAGAAGAACGAGCUGAUUGAAGCGUUUAAGCAGGGAGUGGGGAAAAAGCCCUGCAAGUACUUCGAACAAGGGAAAGGAACUUGCCCGUUUGGAGGGAAGUGUCUUUACCUUCAUGCUUAUCCAGAUGGGACACGAGCUGAACCUGAAAAACCACGGAAACAGCUCAGCUCUGAGGGGACUGUGCGGUUCUUCAACUCUGUUCGGCUGUGGGACUUCAUUGAGGACAGAGAAAGUCGGACUGUGACCAGCACAGAGGACGAAGUAACAGAACUGGGAGACCUUUUCAUGCACCUUUCUGGGGCUGAUGAGGAUUCUGCUACUUCUCAAUAAAGAGAACCAAAGGUGCCGCCGUCUCUGGCGAGCGAGAUGAUGAUUUAGCCACGCUUUUACUCUCUGCAGCACAGUCAGAGUGAAUGUGCCCUGUGGUUUACUUGUGCAGUCCUGAGAGAAGUAUUUUCAUGAGGGUGUUUGCCUGAAGAUGACAUAAACCAGGUAACAAUUGUCUGAAAUUAAAAAGAUAACUUGUUUUGCAAAGCUGCCUAGGGACAACAAAAAGAGAAGUUUUCAUGUCAGAGCAGUAAGACCUAGAAACUCAGGCCUUUUAAACUCUUCACUGAGCAGCUUUCAUCUACUUUGACAUCAAAUGCUGGUCAAAAUAAGUCUAUUUUCGAAAAUAUUUUAAUUUUUCAAGAGACACUGUUUUUAAAAUUAGGAGUUAAUUGUUUCUUUUUGGAAAUCAGAGCUAAAGUAAAAAGCAGCUUACCCUUUCUCCUCCCCCCCGCUCUUCUUAAACUCUUUCUUGUUAUAAUGAAGGUUUAACAUGAGAGAUAAAAUAGUUAAAAUACCAAGCAUAUUAUUAAAAAUAACACAGAACUACAUGCAACAGUUUCCUUCAACCCUCAAUUUACUUUUUAGCAAGCAAAUUUUAUGGUCAUGCUCAAUUAUCACCUGAAGAUUAAUAUUCUAGUUAUAUCAUAUUCUGAGGACAAACAGCCUAGAUACUAUUUUUUAAGUAUGUCCUGGCUUACGUACUGCAAGUUCCUCUCUUCCCUUUCAUAAGCGCUUUGCGGGUUCUUUGCUUGCUGCAAAUAAGAAGCCGAAAUGGCUAUUUGGACAUUAUAGGCAAUUAAGAGUUGUACAUAUAAGCUGUCAAAAUUCACAGCAAAAUUAUUUUGCCUAACAAAUUUUAGGCAGCGGUUUAAAUCAAGCUAACAAUGGUUACAGACGUCUUGUCUCUUCCCUCGCCAGACCUCAGCCCUGGAGUCCGAUGGGAGCCCCAUACUUUUUAUACACAGAGAGAGACACAAAAUCCCAAGCUUCCAGUCCAAGAAUGGAAACUUGGCCACCGCUCUUUCCCUAAUCAACGUAUUUAAACAGAAGGCUAUUUAAAAAACAAAUUCUUAGAUUAAACCACCUAAUUUUUGUCAUCUGUGGAGUUCAGCCAAGACAAACCACUCGCUUCUACCCAAGUAAACACCAGGUUCACAGAAGAUAAAAUGCAGAGCAAAGCCGGUGCAGUUCAAUAGCUUGGUAGUACCUCAGCGUAAUGUAGAUGCUGCUGAAAGAUUCCUACAGUAGAAUAAAAAGCAUAUUGUAAAGAAUGUGAUUGGAAACCUAAAGGUCAUCAUAUCAAGUGUGUUUUUACUUGAACUGCUAUUAUCUAUCCCAGUAACUUUUAAAAAUUAUUUGGAAUGUCAUUUUCUGAGGUUUUUCAAAUCUAGAUGUACAUGUCAGAACUACGGUUUACUACAUUAAAUGAUGACAUUGAAUCUUAAACCUAAAAUUUAAUUUAUUUUAUUAAAAUAAGAUAAUCAGAAGAACCUUGGCUUACAAUAAA